RNAcentral lists this long non-coding RNA (1413 nucleotides) under Arabidopsis lyrata. RNAcentral describes it as "long non-coding RNA (ALYR_LNC002039)". Lineage: Eukaryota; Viridiplantae; Streptophyta; Magnoliopsida; Brassicales; Brassicaceae. The record is from RNAcentral.
CCUCCAACACCAAUUUACAGUCCUCCAAUAAAACCACCUCCAGUCCAUAAACCUCCGGCACCAACUUAUAGUCCUCCUAUAAAGCUACCACCAGUUCAGAAACCUCCAACACCAAGUUACAGUCCGCCAAUUAAACCCCCACCAGUGAAGCCUCCGACACCAACAUACAGUCCACCUAUCAAGCCACCGCCAGUUCAAAAGCCUCCCACACCAACGUACAGUCCCCCGGUAAAGCCACCACCAGUGCAAAAGCCUCCGACACCAAUUUAUAGUCCACCCGUUAAGCCACCACCAGUGCAAAAGCCUCCGACACCAAUUUAUAGUCCACCCGUUAAGCCACCACCAGUGCAAAAGCCUCCGACACCAACUUACAGUCCACCAAUUAAACCACCACCUGUGAAGCCUCCAACACCAACAUAUAGUCCACCUGUUAAGCCACCACCAAUACAUAAGCCUCCGACACCUACUUAUAGCCCACCUAUUAAGCCACCACCAGUGCAGAAGCCUCCGACACCAAUUUACAGUCCUCCGAUCAAGCCACCACCGGUGCACAAGCCUCCUACACCAACUUAUAGUCCCCCUAUAAAACCACCACCUGUACAUAAGCCUCCGACACCGAUUUACAGUCCUCCGAUCAAGCCACCACCGGUGCACAAGCCUCCAACACCAUCUUAUAGUCCUCCUGUUAAACCACCACCUGUACAUAAGCCUCCGACACCAACUUACAGUCCCCCUAUCAAGCCACCACCAAUUCAAAAGCCUCCCACACCUACGUACAGUCCCCCUAUAAAGCCACCACCAGUCCAAAAGCCUCCAACACCAACUUACAGUCCACCUGUCAAGCCACCACCAGUGCAAAAACCUCCUACACCAACUUAUAGUCCUCCUAUUAAACCACCACCAGUACAAGUACCUCCAACACCAACUACUCCAUCACCUCCACAAGGUGGAUAUGGUACUCCUCCUCCAUAUGCAUAUUUAUUGCAUCCUAUAGACAUAAGCAAUUAGGUAAACAAGAUACAAUACAUAUAUUUUCUCAAGGAUAGUCAAAUAGGCUUUCAAGCACAAGAGAAGUGUAUGUUAAAGCUAUAUAUGGUACUGCAUAUUAUGCAGUAAAUAAAUAAAGUUCUAUAAAUGGUUGUUAAUAUAUAUGUUACAGUCGAUCUCGUUGUUAUGCCACUCUUUGAGUUGAAGUGUUUUCAUGUACGCAUUUUCUAAAAUCUAACAAGGAAAAUAAAUUUCCGUGGCCGUAAAUAAACCUCAAGUAAACUAUCUCGAUACCUUUUGUAUUAAAGUUAAAACUUGAUGAAUUCCAUUAGCAUAUUUUGGCAGCUCAAUAUUUAACUGCUGUUAUAUACAAAUCUAACGAGACAAUAAUAAAAUCAUAAAUUAGAGACAACAUCUACCAAACAC